UUAUAGCUGAGGAAUUCAACUCAGAAUCAAUCCAUACAAGAAUGAAAUUGUGAUCCCCAAAUCAGAAUCCAGAGGGGGAUUAUAGUUCUGUAUUCUCUAGCGUUUCAGCCAUUGUUGUCGGCGGUUUACUGGUUUUUCGUCGCCGUCAAAUGCAUGUCACUUUUCAGACGGUGAGGUCUGUGUUACGGUAUACGGAACCCUAACCCUAAUCAACUCCACAUCACCUCUUCAUCGGAGCUACGCCACCGCUGCAUGCGAUGUCCUCCGCUGCGGCGGCGGUUGAUCCACCACACAACACCGUGGACCCUGCCUCCAAGUCCGAACAGGAGAUGGAGGAUGAGGAGUACGAGUACGAGUACGAGGAGAUAGAAGAAGAAAUAGAGGAAGAAAUUGAGGUUGAAGAGGAAGAAGAAGUGGAAGAAGUAGAAGAAGAAGAGGAGGAGGGGGAAAAGGAAGAUGUAGAAGAAGCGGGAGCAGAUAGUGACCAAGAAUUAGCCCCAUCCAAUGGAGAAGAUAGCGGAAAGGGCACUGCUGAAGCAGGAAUUGCAGAAGCAGCAGCCAAAUUGUUCAAUGAACAUGAUCAUAAAAAACAAGACUUGGAGGAAGAAGUCGCGAGAAAAGAGGGAGCUGAUAAUGCUGAGGAAUUAACUAAACUCAAUGAAGAAGAUCAUGCAGAAGGCAACGUAGAAGUGGAAGAAACAGCAGCUGCUGAAAUUGCUGAAGGAUUAAGUCAAUGCAACAAAGAAGGUCAUGAAAAAGAAAAUAGACAAGUUCUGGAGCCUGCAAGGCUUGAAAAGCUUUUGGGGUCAGAUUCUGCUACUCCCCAAGAAUCGGUAGCACAUCCACCAUUGGAUGCCUCUGUAGUAAGGGACAGUGAUAACAAUAACGGAACUGCUAGCCCAGAUGAUACAAAUGAAGGGAAGAAGUCAACGGUUGAUGGAAAUAAAACCCACAGAGGUGAUGUCAAUAUUUCUCUGCAUGAGGGUGGAGUUAUGCCUGAAAAGGCUUUUGGUUGUGAAAUCAAUGCUGCAAUGUUGGAUGUUGAUCCUUCCAGCAAUGGGAUUAUUGGUGUCCAAUAUUCCAAAGAUAUGGCAGAUCAGGAAGCAGCACAAGCUGUAGAAGAUAUGGAGAUAUCACCAAGGUCGGAUGUUCCUCAAUUAAGGCCAAGAAGUUUGUCACCCGGUGCUGAAUUCAAUGAUAAAAAUAAACGACCCGCAAUUAUAUGUGAUUUUUUUGCUAAAGGCUGGUGCAUCAAAGGAAGUUCCUGUAGGUUCCUUCAUGUAAGGGAUAAUGCUGCUAACAGUUCCAAGGAGGGCAGUGUAGAUGCUUCUAAGCUAAAGGGCAUACUUGCUGGGGAAGGUUUGAAAUAUACAACUGAAAUAUCAGCAAAGAACAUGCAUUCAGACCUGGGUCUUUCUAGGAUUGAACAUGAAGCAACACUAAGGUUGAAGAGUGGGAUUGAGGAAGUGCCUCUAGACAAAAACCUUUCUGUGUCUGAUACCUCUUUAAAGGAUAAGGACAUUGGGAGGGAAUAUCUUGAACAUAAACCAUACUUGGCCAACUACAACCACUCAUCAUCAAUGCUCAAAGACUAUUCUCAAACUUUUGGGAACAACUCUUUUGGUAGAGGUUUGCCAUCUGAAAAUUGUAGAAAUGUUGGAUAUUCCUCUUAUUUCUCACAUUUAGAAGGAAUAAGAAGUAAAGGAAGCCAGUUUCUUCAUGAUGACCAUCCUUCAAAUUGCCCUGUAGAGAGGGUACCUUUAUAUCCAAGUGCUUCUUGGAAUGCAAGUCCCCUUGGCUUGCAGAAGCCUAUAGAAGGUGGUAAAGAACUUUCUGCUUCUGGAUCUGUUUCAUUCAAACACAAGUCUCCGCCGUUCACUGGUUCUGAAUCAACACUAAUUUCUCACCUUGAUUUAUCUGCACCUACACAUCAUUCGUCUCUGUAUAAGCCCAACCUAUCCUUUGACAAUUGGGAGCCUUCUGUUCCAUUUCAACCAUCAUUCUUGAUUACUCAGCGUAUGCUGUCUGAGGCAAGUCGAUAUGAUCCUAUUCGAGACAGUAUUGAGCAGACAAUUGCUCAAGACAAGCCCUCACAGUUCCCUUUCUCUGGUCAAGGUGCAUCUGCCUCUGGCACACACGUGUGUGAAAAUGCUGAUCCAGUAGCAACAGGAAACCUUGGCCCUGAACAGAGCUCUAAUAAACAUUCAGUUUCUAGUCACAGUUCUCACAAGGAUGCUGUUCCCCGAAACCUGUCAGAGAAAGAAAAAGAACUGAUGGAUACUGCAGGGGCUCAUCAGGAGAACAUUUAUUAUACUUCCUUGAAAGAAAAGCAGCUUCCGAAAUCUGCUGAUUUCGGAGAUACUACUGAAGCUGAUAAAACACACUGUAGUAAUGAUACCGUGCAGAAGAAUGGGGCACAGUAUAAGAUGGAACUGAAAGUAGAGAGUGUGAAAAGUGGAAAUGAUGUUGAUGGAUUAGUUCACCAGGACUCUAGAGCUUUAAAACAGUUUGAGUCUGCUGUUGUGGAAUUUAUCAAGGAACUAUUAAAACCAACUUGGCGUGAGGGUCUUUUGAGUCGUGAUGCUUACAAGGCGAUAGUUAAAAAAACAAAAGCUAAUUUUCUUAGCACAAUGCAGCCUGAACAAAUUCCUGAUAAUUCUGAUUCAGUAAAAGAAUACCUCUCAUUUGCUCAGCCGAAACUUGAGAAGCUUGUUCUGGGUUAUGUAGAUAAGUAUGGCAGGUCAUGAUAUGCAUUGCAAGUGUGCAACCUAGAUACUAGGUAGUUUGGAGCUAUCCCAAUGGGAUACUAGGAGUUCUGCCAACUGAUUGACUAUUCUCUGACAAUAUAGUUGGCAACUUUACACAGAAAAGGAGUGAUAAAUGUUCUUAUUAGACAAUAUGGAUGAUAGAUCUUUUUCGUUGCUAAUGUUUGGUUUUUGGGCAAAGCAUCUUAAUUUGCUUCCUUUGGCAACAAAGUGGAAUCACUGUGGACUUUCAUGCAGCUGUUUAUCUUUGCUAAUAUCAA
Molecule: RNA transcript, 3025 nt
Organism: Ipomoea nil (Japanese morning glory)
Lineage: Eukaryota; Viridiplantae; Streptophyta; Magnoliopsida; Solanales; Convolvulaceae
Gene name: protein FRIGIDA-ESSENTIAL 1
Exons: 10
Source: RefSeq, a predicted model, not a curated record